This is a long non-coding RNA of Sapajus apella (tufted capuchin), 1679 nucleotides long. RefSeq lists it as uncharacterized. The record is from RefSeq and is a predicted model, not a curated record. The transcript has 3 exons. NCBI's taxonomy places the organism in Eukaryota, Metazoa, Chordata, Mammalia, Primates, Cebidae.
UUACAGGCAUGAGCCACCGCGUCUGGCUCCUUUCUGCACUCUUGCACAGAAAGAAAAGGUUGUUAGCGGCUCAUCUCCUAUCCCAUUGCUUGCCAGAAGGAGUUAAGAGUCUGCAGAGAAGCCACAGUGUGGCAGGGAGUCUAGAAUCCCAAAUAACAGAUGUGGAAGAAUCCUGCCUCAGGACCUGGAUGCGCCUCCUGCCCGUGAGGCUGGCGAGCACAGGUCUGUUGGCAGCAACUGGAUGUGGGUAGUCACCCCCAACUGCUUCUUGGGCAGAGAUGGAUGGAAGGUUGUAAGUUAGGGAGACAGACUGAAGGCCUUUUUUUGGAAACCAGAAACAGAGGCAUAUGCCCUGAGAUGCAGGAUGGAUGCUGACUGGUAAGAGGAGAGUUUAGUCACUCCUGCACUUUCAUAACCAGUUCACGCUGCUCCUGCUCAUCCAUGCAUACCAGCCCUGAAUGAAACACCACAUGCAGAUCCAAGGACACUGUGGAGACAGGCACCCUUUCUGCAAGAGAGAAUUUCAGAAAAGGUAACACACAAGGAGGUGCUUUCCCACAGAGGUUACUGGUGUUAAGAGACGCACCCAUGUGGACACUCUCUUGCAUACGGCACACACCAUCGUCUCUUACACACUUUCUUCCCCAUGGUCCAAGCCAGAUGACGAGGGACUGAGGAGUGGUACAGGAGGUCACUUGAAGAACAAGAGGUCAGGCUGCUUUGGUGUGAAAGCUUCUGGGACCUGAUGGUGUAGUUUGGUGCCCGCAACCCAGUUCUCCUGCUGCCUGGAGACAUUACGGACCAUACAUCAGUGGCGGGGAAGCUGGAGAGUGUGCAGGUGUCCUCACCUGCAGCAUGCCGAGAGAGGCAUGAAAAGAAAGGAGAGAAAAGAAAAAAUAGAGUGGUGAUGUCGAAUACCACAAAAGGAAGUGACAGUAGGGAGAGAAGGCGAGGAGAGACUCCAAAUCUCUCAUCUACCAGCUGGGAUGGCGGGGGGACACCUUGGUCCUCACCCAGGCUACUUGUCCAUGCCCUUCCCAUUGGGAAGGACAAGGUGUUUCUGUCCAUCCUGACAAUCUCUGGAGCAGAUCUCUUUUUCUUGCAACAAAAGAAGGGGGCAGUCCCCACUCCUCAAGACUCCCAGAGGGAGGGCCCCCAGUGUGUCCUCACACUGGCCUCUCACAUCUUUAUAGCCAAAAGGUUCCUAAGAAGCAGCAAGGUCUGGAGAGCGGUUUGGAGCUGAGAUCCCACCUUCAAAACUAGUUCCAAUAUCACCACUAACCAUGAGGCUUGGAGCCAGCACAUCCACAAAUUCUCACACAGAGAAUUCUUCCUUGUUCCCAUUUACCUAUAGGUCUAUUGAGUGAAUACAAUUCAAUAAUAUUGAUGUAUAUCUUUGAAAACAAUGAGAACAUAUACAACACGAGCUAUCAUAUACAGCGGCCUCCUCUUAUCCUCAGGGGAUACAUUCCAGCAUCCUCCAGUGGAGGCCAGGAACUGCGGAACUGUGGAUAGGGCCAAACCCUGUAUAAACCGUCUUUCUCUCUACACAUACAUAUACAUACAUGUGAUGAAGUUUAAUUUGCAAAUUAGGCACAGUUAAGAGUUUAGGCCAGGUGCGGUGGCUCACGUCUGUAAUCCCAGCACUUUGGGAGGCUGAGGCAGGUGGAUCACCUGAG